GAAUUCUAUUGGUCCACUGAUUCGACGAAAAUACGCAUGCGCACUAAGAAUUAAUUUUGCAACACUAGCGCCUCCAAAUCAACGGUUUAAUAACAAUAUAGGUUAUGUUAUUUUCGUUCUUGUUGGCAUUGUAAAGAUGUAUUAUUUUCCGGACAAAGCAUGUUUAUAAUUCAAAUGAGACAAUAACCUCAAAUGCGUAGCGUCUACUUCAAAGCUUUGUGUUAAAAAAUAUGGCAAAUAUAAUCGAUUCUCUUAAAAAACUUAGCGUAGAGAACGGUACAGCGAAACAGAAUAACAACAUGUCUGUGAAGAAGAAAAACGAAUUAGUAUUAUCGGUUGAAGAAACGGUGUUUCGAAAAAGUUAUGUUUUAGCAGUUUGUGGAACUCAAAGUGAACCAGAAUUCAGAAUCGGAACGGCUUCAUCCAAUCAUUUGUGCGUCAUCUAUACAGCAGGAGAAACUUUAAGUAGGACUACUACGUUAACUCAUAAUAAAGCUACUAUUGUUGGAAUCAAAUUUAGUCCUACCUCCAAGAAUAUUAUAUAUACGGCAACUAAUAAAGGAAUAAUUACUGCAUGCGAUUUACGUGCUAAAGGAAAAGCAGUUGCAGAAUUUAAAGAUAGUUCUGAAGAUGGAAAAUUAAAACCAUUAGCUAGUUUUGAUAUAAGUUGCGAUGAAAGACUUAUUGCUGGUGGAACCGAACACAUCGGUGGAGAUACAUUUAUUUUGUUUUGGGAUAUCAGGCAUAGUAAUUCUAAAGUAGAAUGUAAGGAUAAUAAUCUUCUUGGAGGUUACUGGCAGUCACAUAUGGAUGAUGUGACUCGCUUAUCAUUUCAUCCCAACAAACGAGAUAUUUUGGCAUCCGGUAGUGUAGAUGGUCUUAUCAAUAUCUUUGAUCUAACGCAGCCUACAGAAGAUAUGGCAUUAAGAUAUUCAUUAAAUACCGAGUCCUCGGUGGAUGGAUUAGGCUGGAUGAACAAUGACAAUCUAUGGUGUACAACAUUUACAUCGUCGUUGCAAUUUUGGAAUGCUGAAGGAGUAACUCCAUAUACAAGGUUCAAACGUAGCAGUUUAGCAUUAGCACACGGUGAUGACCCAGAUAAUUGCUACAUAGUUAAGUUUCAUCCUUCGAAUGCGCUUGGACAACCAUUCCUAUUAGCAGGAUCAGAUAAUGUUAAAGGUGAAAAUUUAAGAUGUCUAAGCGUCGUAAACAAUCAACUAGAAAUCUGUUAUAAUCUUAUUGGAAAUAAGCAGUAUGUAAGGGACAGUUGGUUACAUGAAAAGAGUAACUCUUUAGUAACUGUCGGAGAAGAUGGUUUAAUAAAUAUUUGGAGACAGUCAGAGUCUAGUGGCGUUCAACAAAGUGCAGGCCAGAAAUUAUUAACAAAGAUCGGUAGUGGGAAAAGCCGAGAACGUCAGCAUAGGGCCAAACCAUACUAAGCGUUAAUAAUAGGAUAAAGAUCUAUAAAUGGACACUAUUUUCGGAAGAAAGCAUCACAACGACCACUUACCCAAAGCACCAUGUUAUCGUAAGCAAAUGGAUAAACAUAAAACAACUUACGCUGUACUGUGAGGUAUUGUUCGUGUUCCGGACUCAGUGAGAUGCGUAUGAAUUGGCGGUGUAACGAUGGAAGGGGUUGAAAUAGAUUUCUGGAGAGGUAAACGUGCACCAGUUAAACCUGGCAUCAAACUGCUACUUUCACCUAAUCUUUGACUAUUUCUUUUUAAGACAAUCUUCUGAUAUUCACUCUGUGACAGGAAAGUACAUACGUAUAUUACUAUACCUGUAUUUUUGACCAAUGUUUCUAAUCUAAAAUUACCUGCACAAGGUCUGCCUCAUUUAAGGAAUGAGUACUUGCUUGUGAUCUGCAUGCUCGAUUACCUACCCCUACAAGUCCACUACAAGAUUUUCCAUCUAGUUCUAGUUCCAUUUCACUGUCCAGACUACUUAAACUAAUGCUGCGUUGUCGCUGAAAUAAUAAUGAAUGAUUUUGCCCGGAAUAUCUGCGUCGACCACGUCUAGUAUCUUCCAAAUCUGUCCAACUUCGUCUUCUGUCUAUGCCCUGUACAGGUUGUGCAUGAGAGUUCAUAGAUGGAAAAUGUGUCGGAGAGCUAUUGGUUGAACAGUUAACAAGGAGAUCUGGAUCAGAUCCUGCUUCAUGAUUAUUGGAACGAUGUCCACCCUCUAUAAGUAUCAAUGGACAUAAGGAAGGACACGAAAAGGUCAGUCUUUGAGGUACAUCGUGGGGCAUACGAUUAUUGUUUCCCAAAGUAUUCAUCGUCAAGUCUCUCAUACGUUGAAUCCAGUCAUGAAUUUCAUGCAAAUGCUGCAGAUUGUCCUCUGUAAAAAAAAAAAGAAAAAAAAAAAAGAAAAAAAAAUCGUAAUUUCAGUAAUUAGAUACAGACCGAUGAAUUCUUAUUAGUUAGAUAUGAAAUUUGAUCCAAAAUAUUUACCUAAUACAGGAUAGUUCUUAGCAAAACCAGGAGAAUGAGGUGUGACACUAAUAAUGGGUACAAGAGGAUUAGGCUGAGUUUGAAUAUUAGUACCAAGUGUAAGCAACGGAUGUUGCUGUUGCUGCUCAGAAUUCCCUCCAGACAUGGUGAUUGUUUUAUUGGUAUUAUCUUCGGUAUAACCAGUUUCUGUGACUAUAUUUCCAUGUAGACUCAGGCCACCAAGAUCUCCAUUAAUAGUAGGCACACGGUCACAGUCGGAAUGCGAUGAGCCAAGAUAGUCCGUUAUUACAUCCUCUUCGCUAUCCUCUCCGCUAUUGGGACAUUCAUCUAAAAAAAUAUUGAUAUUGCUAAUAUACACUUGUAAUUAGUUGAAAAUUUAUAAUACGUAUCUAUUCCCAUUGUUCUGUCUAA
This is an unclassified non-coding RNA of Vespa mandarinia (Asian giant hornet), 2864 nucleotides long. NCBI's taxonomy places the organism in Eukaryota, Metazoa, Arthropoda, Insecta, Hymenoptera, Vespidae. The record is from RefSeq and is a predicted model, not a curated record.